GUUCCAGGCCAGGGGGGAAGUGAGACAAAAACCUGCUCUCCUCCAGACAUGGGCCUCCCGGGGCUGGAACAUCUCUGCCAAAGCAGAGUGUAGCAGCAGCUCUGAAAUGGACAUAAAUUGUGUUUCAUUUCCCACAGUGGGAACACGAAUGUUUGGCCGUACUUCACACCUUACUGCCAAGGUUUUCACCCCAACGCCCUAGGCUGCUCUUCCCAGUCCUUCUAUCCAUGACACCUAAGCCCCUAGAGCUGGUUGGUGUGGGCGUCCACACCGCAGACCUGAUGCCCUGGACUGUUGACACCAUCAGGGUGUGUCAUGGUACGUGUGUGGGGAGACCCCUGACCCCCAGACCCCAGGUGACGCUGUGGCUCCCUGCAACCUCAGCAGGGACAUCACUGUUGCCGCUGUGCUCUAUACUGGGACCAGCAGAAGCCAGCGAGGCCUCCUCAGUCCUCCUGUCCUACCACUCAGACUCCAGGAAGAACCAGGCUCCGGGGUCCGCCGCGGGUUUUCUGGAUCCAAAGGUGCCUCGUACGACGCCGGGCUCCUGCUGGUCACUAUGUUGGAGCCUGAGGACGAGGCUGACUCUGACCGUGCAGGCUGGUACAACAGGGCUUCUCAGAGUGACACAGGCAGAUGGAAACCGGGACGAGAACCUCAGCCUGUCAGGGGCUUGUUCUCAGAACUGUCAAAUUUCCAAUAAAUGCCCCAGAAUCAAUUAA
This is a long non-coding RNA of Dama dama (fallow deer), 722 nucleotides long. RefSeq lists it as uncharacterized. Lineage: Eukaryota; Metazoa; Chordata; Mammalia; Artiodactyla; Cervidae. The record is from RefSeq and is a predicted model, not a curated record. The transcript has 2 exons.